Long non-coding RNA from Ipomoea nil (Japanese morning glory), 99 nucleotides. RefSeq lists it as uncharacterized. The transcript is spliced from 4 exons. The record is from RefSeq and is a predicted model, not a curated record. NCBI's taxonomy places the organism in Eukaryota, Viridiplantae, Streptophyta, Magnoliopsida, Solanales, Convolvulaceae.
UCAAUAUGUAUUAAGUUUGAAUAUUGAUGUUGUUUUAGUUGUUGUAAAUUUAGCCUUAGCAUUUGGGUAUAGAGAAAUACCUGAGCGUGGCGGUAGCAC